RNAcentral lists this ribosomal RNA (492 nucleotides) under uncultured bacterium. RNAcentral describes it as "partial 16S ribosomal RNA". It matches the Rfam family "Bacterial small subunit ribosomal RNA", at positions 29 to 506 of the family's 1533-position model. The record is from RNAcentral.
AGUGAACGCUGGCGGUAGGCCUAACACAUGCAAGUCGAACGGCAGCACAGUAAGAGCUUGCUCUUACGGGUGGCGAGUGGCGGACGGGUGAGGAAUACAUCGGAAUCUACUUUUUCGUGGGGGAUAACGUAGGGAAACUUACGCUAAUACCGCAUACGACCUACGGGUGAAAGCAGGGGAUCUUCGGACCUUGCGCGAUUGAAUGAGCCGAUGUCGGAUUAGCUAGUUGGCGGGGUAAAGGCCCACCAAGGCGACGAUCCGUAGCUGGUCUGAGAGGAUGAUCAAGCACACUGGGACUUGGGAACCGGCCCAAACCCCUAGGGGGGGAGGAAGGGGGGAAUUUGGGAAAAGGGGGGAAACCCGGCCCCGGCCAAACGGGGGGGGUGAAAAAGGCCUUGGGGUUGAAAACCCCUUUUUUGGGGAAAAAAAAGCGGCAGGUUAAUCCCCCGCUGUUUGGCCGGUACCAAAAAAAUAAGCCCCGGCUAACUUCGU